Molecule: ribosomal RNA, 460 nt
Filed under: uncultured bacterium
Lineage: Bacteria
Description: partial 16S ribosomal RNA
Rfam family: Bacterial small subunit ribosomal RNA
Source: RNAcentral
CCUACGGGAGGCAGCAGUGAGGAAUAUUGGUCAAUGGACGCAAGUCUGAACCAGCCAUGCCGCGUGCAGGAAGACGGCUCUCUGAGUUGUAAACUGCUUUUGUACGAGGGUAAACGCAGAUACGCGUAUCUGUCUGAAAGUAUCGUACGAAUAAGGAUCGGCUAACUCCGUGCCAGCAGCCGCGGUAAUACGGAGGAUUCAAGCGUUAUCCGGAUUUAUUGGGUUUAAAGGGUGCGUAGGCGGUCGGAUAAGUUAGAGGUGAAAUCCCGAGGCUCAACUUCGGAAUUGCCUCUGAUACUGUACGGCUAGAGAGUAGUCGCGGUAGGCGGAAUGUAUGGUGUAGCGGUGAAAUGCUUAGAGAUCAUACAGAACACCGAUUGCGAAGGCAGCUUACCAAGCUACUUCUGACGUUGAGGCACGAAAGCGUGGGGAGCAAACAGGAUUAGAUACCCGUGUAGUC